GACGAACGCUGGCGGCGUGCUUAACACAUGCAAGUCGAACGGAAAGGCCCUGCUUUUGUGGGGUGCUCGAGUGGCGAACGGGUGAGUAACACGUGAGUAACCUGCCCUUGACUUUGGGAUAACUUCAGGAAACUGGGGCUAAUACCGGAUAGGGGCUCCUGCUGCAUGGUGGGGGUUGGAAAGUUUCGGCGGUUGGGGAUGGACUCGCGGCUUAUCAGCUUGUUGGUGGGGUAGUGGCUUACCAAGGCUUUGACGGGUAGCCGGCCUGAGAGGGUGACCGGCCACAUUGGGACUGAGAUACGGCCCAGACUCCUACGGGAGGCAGCAGUGGGGAAUAUUGCACAAUGGGCGGAAGCCUGAUGGAGCAACGCCGCGUGCGGGAUGACGGCCUUCGGGUUGUAAACCGCUUUCGCCUGUGACGAAGCGUGAGUGACGGUAAUGGGUAAAGAAGCACCGGCUAACUACGUG
This 468-nucleotide ribosomal RNA is filed under the name uncultured bacterium. RNAcentral's name for it is "partial 16S ribosomal RNA". It matches the Rfam family "Bacterial small subunit ribosomal RNA", at positions 28 to 507 of the family's 1533-position model. The record is from RNAcentral.